This 363-nucleotide ribosomal RNA is filed under the name Triticum aestivum (bread wheat). RNAcentral describes it as "partial small subunit ribosomal RNA". Lineage: Eukaryota; Viridiplantae; Streptophyta; Magnoliopsida; Poales; Poaceae. The record is from RNAcentral.
AUGGUUCUCAAAGAGCUCUGCCAUUUCAGUGGUGCCAAGAUACACCCGGGGAAUAGUAUCGGAUUCAUCCGUUCAAACUCGCAAGACUUCCUUUUGUCCAACACAAAGUGCAAGCGCUAUUUGCACAACCAUCCUAAUCCUGCUAAGCUUGCAUGGACGACCAUGUACUGGAAGCAGCAUAAGAACUUACUUGGUUCUGCACUAAACAGAAGGAAAUACGAUGAACCAUAUAUUUUAAUUUUCAAGGAAAUAGACAAUACGCCCAUAAAAAGAGUUAGAUCACAAUGUUUUCCAUCCACGACUGAAAUUGAGUUUAACUUUCCUAACAUCCUCGCCUACAUGGUUUCCAACAAAUUUGUGUGA